Molecule: non-coding RNA, 258 nt
Organism: Coffea arabica (coffee)
Lineage: Eukaryota; Viridiplantae; Streptophyta; Magnoliopsida; Gentianales; Rubiaceae
Source: RefSeq, a predicted model, not a curated record
UCUUUACCAGGUGUCCAAGCAAUUUUGGCUUUCUUCAACAUUCCCCACGUGCUGUUCUCGGACGGCAACAAGUUUAGCAGUGAUUUGAGGAAGUGGAGAAGUGGGCGACGAAGGAGGAGAGCUCCUUCCAUUGGCAUUAGAGGGAGAUUUAUAGUUGCAUAGGACAUUGGAAACCACAAGGCUCCGAUUGGAGUUCAAAGAUAAAUAGGCAUAUUGAGCCAAUCCCAAAAAUCAGAGGAAAAACUACUCGGGAUGUAA